RNAcentral lists this long non-coding RNA (744 nucleotides) under Macaca mulatta (Rhesus monkey). Its description in RNAcentral is "lncRNA (ENSMMUG00000048878.2)". The record is from RNAcentral. Lineage: Eukaryota; Metazoa; Chordata; Mammalia; Primates; Cercopithecidae.
CCGCUGCCACCCGGAGCCCCGGGACGGCAGCAAGGACCACGGCCCGCCGCACUGGGUGGGCAGGCCUUCCCCUACGAGCCCCGGCACGCCGCCCCCUCUGUCCCACACGGAGCCUGCAGCGGUAUUUUAAGAUCUCUGUGGUGAACCGAGACUAGAAAUGAAUCUGUGAAUCCACCACCGAAACAGUAUGGGAACCAUGUCUAAUCAACCAUAGGAAGUGGCCAAAGGAGGAAGCAGGAGUUUGUGGGUCCAGUGUGGAGGAGACAAAGACUGGACUGCUGUUCCACACCUUCAGAACACUUUAGUUCCGGGAUAAUGUUAUUAGCUUUCAAGCAUGUGAUGCAUCCCAAGAGAGCUGUUGACUUCCAGUCUGACCAAAUUCUUUCACGUUGUGGCGUGUACGAUGUAUAAACGUUUUGGAAUGCCUCUGAGACGACUUCUGCCGGUGAGUCUUUCCUCUGAGUGUCUUUGGGGCUAGAACAGUCAUGUCCAUUUCAUUGUUGAUUAGGUGUUCGUAUAAAAAAGAAUUUUUAAAUGCUUUACUUAACAGCUCUGAUUAACACUGAGUAUUUAGAUCCUGAUGUGUCAGUUAUAGACAUUUAAUCUCUCAUCAUUAAAUAUUUCUGCCUCUUUCACUGAAUAGAGGAGGAUGUAUGUGAGCAACAUAUGGGUGGAGUUGAUCUGAACAAGAAUUUAGGGAGGAGAAAAUUAUACGAUCUCUAAUUUUUUUAGGGAGAGGCUGAA